This 412-nucleotide ribosomal RNA is filed under the name uncultured bacterium. RNAcentral describes it as "bacterial SSU rRNA". It matches the Rfam family "Bacterial small subunit ribosomal RNA", at positions 505 to 916 of the family's 1533-position model. The record is from RNAcentral.
GUGCCAGCAGCCGCGGUAAAACGUAGGACGCAAGCGUUAUCCGGAAUUACUGGGCGUAAAGGGCGUGCAGGCGGCUCGAUAAGUCCGUCGUGAAAGCCCCCUGGCUAAACUGGGGGAGGUCGAUGGAGACUGUCGGGCUAGAGGCUGGUAGAGGGGCAUAGAAUUCCGGGUGUAGUGGUGAAAUGCGUAGAUAUCCGGAGGAAUACCAGAGGCGAAGGCGGUGCCCUGGGCCAGUACUGACGCUAAGACGCGACAGCAUGGGGAGCGAACAGGAUUAGAUACCCUGGUAGUCCUAGCCCUAAACCAUCAGGACUUGGCGUGGGCCCCGUCCGGGGUCCGUGUCGUAGCCAACGUGAUAAGUCCUGCGCCUGGGGAGUACGGUCGCAAGGCUGAAACUCAAAUGAAUUGACGG